UUGAAAGUCCAGUCCAGUACAGACAUACCCAGUCCAGCCUGGAUAAGAAGCAUUUAUCCAGGCAGAAACUGAAGUCCAAGAGCUUUUUUUUUUUCUUUUUAGAGUUGGUCUUCCUUUUUUGAGCUUUGUAAAAUGCAGUUCUGCCUAAAAAAAGUUCACUUUCUUAUCAUUUAUUCUGGCCAGAACUACCAGUUUUGUAUUGUGAAAAAUUGUGAAGUCCUUACCAGUCUGAGGCAAGAAAAGAACUUACUUGGGAGAUAUUCCUCACCCAAAUUCACAAUCGCUUGUUUAGAAAUCAGUAACUUAGGGCUCAAGUUAUCUAUUUUCAAGAGGUCUGCUAGGAUUUUCAUUGCUAGCAGUGACACGCUCACACACAAAAGAAAGUUGACUCGUUGACCAGUCAAUGAUUUUCGAGAUAAUGGGGAACUUUACCCUACCAUCACAAGAACAAAUAUAAAACGGGUGAACACCUACACAAGUUGUUUUGACCUCCAAACAUGGGAAAAUUUCUCAAGCCUGCAAGUACGCAUAUAACAUCUCAAGAAUGGAAUGAUAAACAGAAUCUACAAAAAAUAAAAUAAAAUACUACAUGUAAAACAAAAACAAAAAAGGUAAUGAAACUGACCACAAUAACUUACAGCAACAUUUAGUAAUCCAAUUAAUGGAUACAAAGAAAACAUUGACUUGAUUUUCUUUCUCUUCUGAGCUUCAGUAUUAUUAAACUGCAGCAUCCUAUCAAGUACCUACAAGAAUCAGAAGAUAUUUUCUGAAACCCCAUAUGUUUAGAAUAAAUAAAGAGAAAAGAACAUCAACAAAAUUGUUAAAACAUUAGUCAAAUUGUUGAGAAUAUAAAAUCCCACAUCGACUAUUC
Molecule: long non-coding RNA, 871 nt
Filed under: Prunus persica (peach)
Lineage: Eukaryota; Viridiplantae; Streptophyta; Magnoliopsida; Rosales; Rosaceae
Description: long non-coding RNA (PPER_LNC003436)
Source: RNAcentral